UACAGAGGUCUCAAGCGUUAGGCGGAAUCACUGGGCUUAAAGCGUGUGUAGGUGGGUUUGUAAGUACCUUGUGAAAUCCCAUGGCUCAACCAUGGAACUGCUGGGUAUACUGCGAAUCUUGAGCUGUCUAGAGGUUACUGGAACAAACGGUGGAGCGGUGAAAUGCGUAGAUAUCGAGAGGAACACCUGCGGCGAAGGCGGGUUGCUGGGCUGACACUGACGCUGAGGCGCGAAAGCUAGGGGAGCGAACGGG
This 253-nucleotide ribosomal RNA is filed under the name uncultured bacterium. RNAcentral describes it as "partial 16S ribosomal RNA". It matches the Rfam family "Bacterial small subunit ribosomal RNA", at positions 524 to 776 of the family's 1533-position model. The record is from RNAcentral.